This 1357-nucleotide long non-coding RNA is filed under the name Homo sapiens (human). RNAcentral's name for it is "HSALNT0360001". The record is from RNAcentral. Lineage: Eukaryota; Metazoa; Chordata; Mammalia; Primates; Hominidae.
CAAGAAUUGGCAACACUCGUACAUGCUAGACAGAUGUGAAAGCUGCUAGAAUGUACAACAAGAGUCCAACUUGGUGACAGAGAUCCUUACCAUUUAUCAGAAGCCUCAAAUACUUAGGUUGAGGACCAGAAAGACACUCAGCACGGAUGGAAAAUGCCCUCCAGAGAUACUGGAAUCAGCAAGAAGGCAGCGGUGCACAAGCCAAGAAGAGAGCCCUCACCAGAGCAUGAACAUUCUAGCACCUAAUCUAAGACUUCUAACCUCCAGAGCAGUGAGAAGGUAUAUUUCUGUUGUUGAAGCCACCCAUUCUGUGGUAUCUUAUUAUGAGCCUGAGUUGACUAAUACAGUCUGUACUAAGUGACAGUAUAAUAUUAUUAAACAAGUUUCUGAAAUGUUUCAAACCAGCAGUUUACAAUGGUUUCAACUGAUCCAUAUCCUUUACAAGAGUUAAUAUUAUCUAUAUUUUUCACUGUGUCAGUCUUGUUGUUCUGUUGUGGUAUUUCAUCGUGACUUUAACUCCCCUGAUUAAUAAUGAUAUUAAUCAUUAUUUUGCAAAGUGCCUUUUCAUGUCUUUUUUUUCAUAUUGAUUUACAGGAGCUCUUUAUUUCUUAACAAAUGUCUUCUACUCUCUUUAUUGUAUUUUUCUUUCUUAAUCAUGAAAAUAAGUUCUUUAUUGCAAUGUAGUUCAAUGUAUCAAUCUUUACUGUUAGUACAUUUUGUGUUCUGUUUGAGAAAUCUUUGCCUACCCCCAAGAUCUCAAAGAUCUUAUCUUACAGAAGCACUUUUUAAAAUCUUUAACAUUUAUAUCUACAACCCAUUUGGAAAUAAUUUUUACAUUUGGUACGAGAUAAGGCUUAAGAUUUAUUUUUUUCCAUGUGCAUAUUUAUUUAGCCCAGCACUGUUAGUUGGAAUGUACACUUAUUACUGUUUCUUCUAUAAUAAAUUAACCAUAUGGAUAUGAUUCUGCUUUCUCAAUUUUCUAUUCUAUUCCAACGAGAUGGUUUUGUUUUCAUAUGCCAAUAACACGCUGUCUAAAUCACUGUAGCCUAAUGUCUUGAUAUCCUAUGGUGUAAAUUCUCCAUAAUUUUUGUUCUUUUUCAAGAUCACCUCAGAUAUUUGUAGACUUUUUGUAUUUCUAUACAAAUUUUAGAAUUACUUUGUCAAUAUCCACAAAAAACAAAAACUUUCUAAAAUUCUAAUUUGGAUUGCAUUUAAUAUAUAUUAAUGGUUGACAAUUAACAUUUUUACAUUAUUGAAUCUUUCAUAUAUGAAUAUAUACCAUUUAUUUAUGUAUUCUUUAAUUUCUCUCAAGAAAGUUUUUAGAUUUGUGUUUAUAAGUUUUGUUAGACUUACUCCU